CUGGGACUCUGGAAACUCCUCCUU
RNAcentral lists this non-coding RNA (24 nucleotides) under Cricetulus griseus (Chinese hamster). The record is from RNAcentral. Lineage: Eukaryota; Metazoa; Chordata; Mammalia; Rodentia; Cricetidae.